This 590-nucleotide ribosomal RNA is filed under the name Escherichia coli. RNAcentral's name for it is "bacterial SSU rRNA". It matches the Rfam family "Bacterial small subunit ribosomal RNA", at positions 1 to 580 of the family's 1533-position model. The record is from RNAcentral. Lineage: Bacteria; Pseudomonadati; Pseudomonadota; Gammaproteobacteria; Enterobacterales; Enterobacteriaceae.
AAAUUGAAGAGUUUGAUCAUGGCUCAGAUUGAACGCUGGCGGCAGGCCUAACACAUGCAAGUCGAACGGUAACAGGAAGCAGCUUGCUGCUUCGCUGACGAGUGGCGGACGGGUGAGUAAUGUCUGGGAAACUGCCUGAUGGAGGGGGAUAACUACUGGAAACGGUAGCUAAUACCGCAUAAUGUCGCAAGACCAAAGAGGGGGACCUUCGGGCCUCUUGCCAUCGGAUGUGCCCAGAUGGGAUUAGCUUGUUGGUGGGGUAACGGCUCACCAAGGCGACGAUCCCUAGCUGGUCUGAGAGGAUGACCAGCCACACUGGAACUGAGACACGGUCCAGACUCCUACGGGAGGCAGCAGUGGGGAAUAUUGCACAAUGGGCGCAAGCCUGAUGCAGCCAUGCCGCGUGUAUGAAGAAGGCCUUCGGGUUGUAAAGUACUUUCAGCGGGGAGGAAGGGAGUAAAGUUAAUAUCUUUGCUCAUUGACGUUACCCGCAGAAGAAGCACCGGCUAACUCCGUGCCAGCAGCCGCGGUAAUACGGAGGGUGCAAGCGUUAAUCGGAAUUACUGGGCGUAAAGCGCACGCAGGCGGUU